RNA transcript from Anopheles stephensi (Asian malaria mosquito), 2115 nucleotides. It is a transcript of the gene named probable glycosidase CRH2, with no coding region annotated. NCBI's taxonomy places the organism in Eukaryota, Metazoa, Arthropoda, Insecta, Diptera, Culicidae. The transcript is spliced from 3 exons. The record is from RefSeq and is a predicted model, not a curated record.
CUCUUGCAGAUUUUUGGAUCGAAAAAGGGUAUACCCAUUUAUACUGCAAACAGAUUACAACGUUUUGCCCUUAUUCUGCAACUUUAUGAUUUUGAUAUCGAAUACAUCCGCACCGAUAAUUUUGGAAAUGCUGAUCUACUGUCUAGGCUCAUCAGAACGCGAUCUCAGCCGGAAGAAGAAUACGUCGUAGCGACCAUUGAGUUGGAAAAGGAUGUACGAUCGGUCGCUGUAAAUUCAUUAAGCUCGCUUCCGCUAAACUUCCAGGACGUCGUAUCACACACCCAAGCAGACAGCGUAUUGCGUAGUGUUUAUCGCUACAUUCAACGAGGGUGGCCGCAGCUUUCAGUUCUGGGACAGGAGUUGGCUCGUUACUACCACAGGAGAGAGUCGUUGUCAACGGUAGACGGAAGUAUUUUGUUUGGAGAAAGACUAGUCAUACCGAGAAGGCUGCGGGAGAGAUGUUUGGAGCAGUUCCAUCGCGGGCAUCCAGGUGUGCAACGGAUGAAGGCACUUGCCCGCAGUUACGUGUAUUGGCCGUCCAUGGAUCAGGAGAUAGCUGAAUGCGUUGGUGCCUGUUCAGCAUGCGCAGCAGCAGCCAAGUCGCCGCCACAUGAGAACCCAGUGCCAUGGGUCAAGUCAACUUUGCCGUGGGAGAGAGUACACAUCGACUAUGCGGGUCCUAUCGACGGGGACUAUUUCCUAAUAGUAGUCGACGCUUGUACUAAAUGGCCGGAGAUCAUAAGAACAACAAGUAUCACGACGUCGACAACGGUUGCUAUCCUGCGUGGUCUAUUCGCUAGAUUCGGAAUGCCGACCACCUUGGUCACGGAUAACGGAACUCAAUUCACCAGCGAAGCAUUCCAAGAGUUCUGCAAGGCGAACGGGGUGGAUCACAAAAGGACAGCUGCUUUUCAUCCUCAGUCAAAUGGGCAGGCUGAGCGAUUUGUCGACACAUUUAAAAGAGCUCUGGUGAAAAUAAAGCAGGGAGGAACCACAUUGCGGGAAGCCAUAGACAUAUUUCUCCUUACAUACAGGACGACUCCAAACGCGCAGCUAGAAGACAGGAAAACACCGGCAGAAAAGAUGUUCGGAAGAGUCCUGCGAACAAGCUUCGAACUGCUGCGCCCUCCGACGAAGAUGCCUCAACAGUCUGCUGAACGCGCAAGAAGUUUUGAACCGAACGACAUGGUGUACGCAAAGGUGUAUAGGCGUAAUACGUGGAUCUGGGUUCCGGCAGUUGUUGUUAAAAGAUGUGGGAGUGUAAUGUAUCUAGUCAAAAGCGAUAACCAACGAGUUUUUAGAAGCCAUGUUAAUCAGUUGCGUCGAAGGGUUAUCGCUCGUGAUCGUGGGUUGGUGGACAGCGAUCAUCGCUUACCAUUGGAUGUCCUGCUGGAUUCCUGGAGUUUAUCGUCAUCGUCAUCACCAUCUGUGUCAUCGUCUUCGUCAUCGUCAUCACCAUCUGUGUCAUCGUCUUCGUCAUCGUCAUCAUCGUCUACGUCAUUGUCAUCGUCUUCGUCAUCACCGUCAUCAUUGUCAUCGUCUUCGUUAUCACCAUCAUCGUCUUCGACAUCACCAUCAUCGUCUGCGUCAUCGUCUUCGUCAUCGCCAUCAUCAUCAUCGUCUUCGUCUUCGUCAUCACCAUCAUCAUCUGCGACUUGGAUAUCGGCUAACUCAUCGUCAUCACAAACAGUGCCGUUACAAACUGCGUCGAAGAUUCCAUUACAACAGCAAACGAUAUCCUCGCCGCCUCCUGCUGAAUGUCAACGAAGCGGUGAUCAUCAGGAAGCAGAGCCGGUACCUCCACCUCGCCGCUCUUCGAGGAUUAGAAGAGUUCCGCGAUGGUUCAACGGGUAUCAGCUAUCUUGAAGGGGGAGAUGUUGCGUACGCAGAUGGAUGUCGCACGACAUGGCUCUCCGGGUUGCUCGCGUCGCGCGACAACAUGCGGAGGUGUGCGUGUCAGGUGCGUAAGAGAGGUCAACGCGGGUCACAGCGAACAGCUGACGUGUCCUGCGUCGCUCGGGGACAGUGUGUCGAUAGCGAGCAACGGGUUAACAGCCAAAGUCGGGCAAGCGGGUUUUAACGUGUAAUAAAUGUUCGUUUAAGUUUUAAAGUGUA